RNAcentral lists this ribosomal RNA (443 nucleotides) under uncultured bacterium. RNAcentral's name for it is "bacterial SSU rRNA". It matches the Rfam family "Bacterial small subunit ribosomal RNA", at positions 29 to 520 of the family's 1533-position model. The record is from RNAcentral.
AACGAACGCUGGCGGCAUGCCUAACACAUGCAAGUCGAACGAGACCUUCGGGUCUAGUGGCGCACGGGUGCGUAACGCGUGGGAACCUGCCUUUAGGUUCGGAAUAACUCAGAGAAAUUUGAGCUAAUACCGGAUAAUGUCUUCGGACCAAAGAUUUAUCGCCUUUAGAUAGGCCCGCGUUGGAUUAGCUAGUUGGUGGGGUAAAGGCCUACCAAGGCGACGAUCCAUAGCUGGGCUGAGAGGAUGAUCAGCCACACUGGGACUGAGACACGGCCCAGACUCCUACGGGAGGCAGCAGUGGGAAUAUUGGACAAUGGGCGAAAGCCUGAUCCAGCAAUGCCGCGUGAGUGAUGAAGGCCUUAGGGUUGUAAAGCUCUUUACCCGAGAUGAUAAUGACAGUAUCGGAGAAUAAGCUCCGGCUAACUCCGUGCCAGCAGCCGCGG